UUAAGCGACUAAGCGUACACGGUGGAUGCCCUGGCAGUCAGAGGCGAUGAAGGACGUGCUAAUCUGCGAAAAGCGUCGGUAAGGUGAUAUGAACCGUUAUAGCCGGCGAUGUCCGAAUGGGGAAACCCAGUGUGAUUCGUCACACUAUCGUUAACUGAAUACAUAGGUUAACGAGGCGAACCGGGGGAACUGAAACAUCUAAGUACCCCGAGGAAAAGAAAUCAACCGAGAUUCCCCCAGUAGCGGCGAGCGAACGGGGAGCAGCCCAGAGUCUGAAUCAGCUUGUGUGUUAGUGGAACGGUCUGGAAAGUCCGACGGUACAGGGUGAUAGUCCCGUACACCAAAAUGCACAGGCUGUGAACUCGAAGAGUAGGGCGGGACACGUGGUAUCCUGUCUGAAUAUGGGGGACCAUCCUCCAAGGCUAAAUACUCCUGACUGACCGAUAGUGAACCAGUACCGUGAGGGAAAGGCGAAAAGAACCCCGGCGAGGGGAGUGAAAAAGAACCUGAAACCGUGUACGUACAAGCAGUGGGAGCACCUUUAUGGUGUGACUGCGUACCUUUUGUAUAAUGGGUCAGCGACUUAUAUUCUGUAGCAAGGUUAACCGUAUAGGGGAGCCGCAGGGAAACCGAGUCUUAACUGGGCGUUAAGUUGCAGGGUAUAGACCCGAAACCCGGUGAUCUAGCCAUGGGCAGGUUGAAGGUUGGGUAACACUAACUGGAGGACCGAACCGACUAAUGUUGAAAAAUUAGCGGAUGACUUGUGGCUGGGGGUGAAAGGCCAAUCAAACCGGGAGAUAGCUGGUUCUCCCCGAAAGCUAUUUAGGUAGCGCCUCGUGAACUCAUCUUCGGGGGUAGAGCACUGUUUCGGCUAGGGGGUCAUCCCGACUUACCAACCCGAUGCAAACUACGAAUACCGAAGAAUGUUAUCACGGGAGACACACGGCGGGUGCUAACGUCCGUCGUGAAGAGGGAAACAACCCAGACCGCCAGCUAAGGUCCCAAAGUCAUGGUUAAGUGGGAAACGAUGUGGGAAGGCACAGACAGCCAGGAUGUUGGCUUAGAAGCAGCCAUCAUUUAAAGAAAGCGUAAUAGCUCACUGGUCGAGUCGGCCUGCGCGGAAGAUGUAACGGGGCUAAACCAUGCACCGAAGCUGCGGCAGCGACACGAUGUGUUGUUGGGUAGGGGAGCGUUCUGUAAGCCUGCGAAGGUGACCUGUGAGGGUUGCUGGAGGUAUCAGAAGUGCGAAUGCUGACAUAAGUAACGAUAAAGCGGGUGAAAAGCCCGCUCGCCGGAAGACCAAGGGUUCCUGUCCAACGUUAAUCGGGGCAGGGUGAGUCGACCCCUAAGGCGAGGCCGAAAGGCGUAGUCGAUGGGAAACAGGUUAAUAUUCCUGUACUUGGUGUUACUGCGAAGGGGGGACGGAGAAGGCUAUGUUAGCCGGGCGACGGUUGUCCCGGUUUAAGCAUGUAGGCUGGUUAUCCAGGCAAAUCCGGAUAAUCAAGGCUGAGGUGUGAUGACGAGGCACUACGGUGCUGAAGUAACAAAUGCCCUGCUUCCAGGAAAAGCCUCUAAGCAUCAGGUAACAUCAAAUCGUACCCCAAACCGACACAGGUGGUCAGGUAGAGAAUACCAAGGCGCUUGAGAGAACUCGGGUGAAGGAACUAGGCAAAAUGGUGCCGUAACUUCGGGAGAAGGCACGCUGGUGUGUAGGUGAAGUCCCUGCGGAUGGAGCUGAGACCAGUCGAAGAUACCAGCUGGCUGCAACUGUUUAUUAAAAACACAGCACUGUGCAAACACGAAAGUGGACGUAUACGGUGUGACGCCUGCCCGGUGCCGGAAGGUUAAUUGAUGGGGUUAUCCGUAAGGAGAAGCUCUUGAUCGAAGCCCCGGUAAACGGCGGCCGUAACUAUAACGGUCCUAAGGUAGCGAAAUUCCUUGUCGGGUAAGUUCCGACCUGCACGAAUGGCGUAAUGAUGGCCAGGCUGUCUCCACCCGAGACUCAGUGAAAUUGAACUCGCUGUGAAGAUGCAGUGUACCCGCGGCAAGACGGAAAGACCCCGUGAACCUUUACUAUAGCUUGACACUGAACAUUGAGCCUUGAUGUGUAGGAUAGGUGGGAGGCUUUGAAGCGUGGACGCCAGUCUGCGUGGAGCCAACCUUGAAAUACCACCCUUUAAUGUUUGAUGUUCUAACGUUGGCCCCUUAUCGGGGUUGCGGACAGUGUCUGGUGGGUAGUUUGACUGGGGCGGUCUCCUCCCAAAGCGUAACGGAGGAGCACGAAGGUUAGCUAAUCCUGGUCGGACAUCAGGAGGUUAGUGCAAUGGCAUAAGCUAGCUUGACUGCGAGCGUGACGGCGCGAGCAGGUGCGAAAGCAGGUCAUAGUGAUCCGGUGGUUCUGAAUGGAAGGGCCAUCGCUCAACGGAUAAAAGGUACUCCGGGGAUAACAGGCUGAUACCGCCCAAGAGUUCAUAUCGACGGCGGUGUUUGGCACCUCGAUGUCGGCUCAUCACAUCCUGGGGCUGAAGUAGGUCCCAAGGGUAUGGCUGUUCGCCAUUUAAAGUGGUACGCGAGCUGGGUUUAGAACGUCGUGAGACAGUUCGGUCCCUAUCUGCCGUGGGCGCUGGAGAAUUGAGGGGGGCUGCUCCUAGUACGAGAGGACCGGAGUGGACGCAUCACUGGUGUUCGGGUUGUCAUGCCAAUGGCACUGCCCGGUAGCUAAAUGCGGAAGAGAUAAGUGCUGAAAGCAUCUAAGCACGAAACUUGCCCCGAGAUGAGUUCUCCCUGAGACUUUAAGUCUCCUGAAGGAACGUUAAAGACGAUGACGUUGAUAGGCCGGGUGUGUAAGCGCAGCGAUGCGUUGAGCUAACCGGUACUAAUGAACCGUGAGGCUUAACCUU
This 2900-nucleotide ribosomal RNA is filed under the name Klebsiella quasipneumoniae. RNAcentral's name for it is "23S ribosomal RNA". It matches the Rfam family "Bacterial large subunit ribosomal RNA". Lineage: Bacteria; Pseudomonadati; Pseudomonadota; Gammaproteobacteria; Enterobacterales; Enterobacteriaceae. The record is from RNAcentral.